UAAACGACUCUCGGCAACGGAUAUCUCGGCUCUCGCAUCGAUGAAGAACGUAGCGAAAUGCGAUACUUGGUGUGAAUUGCAGAAUCCCGUGAACCAUCGAGUCUUUGAGCGCAAGUUGCGCCCGAAGCCUUUAGGCCGAGGGCACGUCUGCCUGGGCGUCACAC
RNAcentral lists this ribosomal RNA (164 nucleotides) under Polylepis besseri subsp. besseri. Its description in RNAcentral is "5.8S ribosomal RNA". It matches the Rfam family "5.8S ribosomal RNA". Rfam says of the family: 5.8S ribosomal RNA (5.8S rRNA) is a component of the large subunit of the eukaryotic ribosome. It is transcribed by RNA polymerase I as part of the 45S precursor that also contains 18S and 28S rRNA. The record is from RNAcentral. Lineage: Eukaryota; Viridiplantae; Streptophyta; Magnoliopsida; Rosales; Rosaceae.